GACGAACGCUGGCGGCGUGCUUAACACAUGCAAGUCGAGCGGUAAGGCCCUUUUGGGGGUACACGAGCGGCGAACGGGUGAGUAACACGUGGGUGACCUGCCCUCAGCUCUGGGAUAAGCCUGGGAAACUGGGUCUAAUACUGGAUAUGACCUUUCCUCGCAUGGGGUUGGGUGGAAAGUUUUUCGGCUGGGGAUGGGCCCGCGGCCUAUCAGCUUGGUUGGUGGGGUGAUGGCCUACCAAGGCGACGAC
Molecule: ribosomal RNA, 250 nt
Filed under: uncultured bacterium
Lineage: Bacteria
Description: partial 16S ribosomal RNA
Rfam family: Bacterial small subunit ribosomal RNA
Source: RNAcentral